RNAcentral lists this ribosomal RNA (253 nucleotides) under uncultured prokaryote. Its description in RNAcentral is "partial 16S ribosomal RNA". It matches the Rfam family "Bacterial small subunit ribosomal RNA", at positions 525 to 777 of the family's 1533-position model. The record is from RNAcentral.
ACAGAGGCCUCGAGCGUUAGGCGGAAUCACUGGGCUUAAAGCGUGUGUAGGUGGAUGCCUAAGUACCUUGUGAAAUCCCACGGCUUAACCGUGGAACUGCUGGGUAUACUGGGCGUCUUGAGCCACUCAGGGGCUACCGGAACAAACGGUGGAGCGGUGAAAUGCGUAGAUAUCGUUUGGAACGCCAAUGGUGAAAACAGGUAGCUGGGGGUGUGCUGACACUGAGACACGAAAGCCAGGGGAGCAAACGGGA